Molecule: long non-coding RNA, 2034 nt
Organism: Gavialis gangeticus (Gharial)
Lineage: Eukaryota; Metazoa; Chordata; Crocodylia; Gavialidae
Exons: 3
Source: RefSeq, a predicted model, not a curated record
AACUGCAGAUAGUACAGCCUGCUUUGCAGCAAUGGGAUGUCUGAACACAAGUGGCUGACUUCCGAGUGACUUUAUGAAGCACUUUUAUACUUUCCUCCUGCAUUAAACUGGGAUUCUGCAUUCUUGGCACUCACCCAUCAGACUCUUCUCUGCUGCAGGGAACUGAGUAUUUAGUACAGCUUAGCAUUAUGAAACUGAAUCUGAGCAGAAUUGCAGACCAGCAAAUCAAAUGAGCUGAAGGCAAUUUGACCAGCAUCUUCUAUGUUCUGUCCACAGAGGUUGAUGAAGCACCAGGUCUCCAAGGUUGAGCUUCACGAUAAUAUGAUGAUGUGGCAUUCAAGAGGGCUCUUAAGAAAAAAAAGGAAAAGUAUGAACUAUGAACAAGAAAAAAGGUAAACUAAUUAAAAAGCACACCAAAGCCCAUAAUUAUCCUUUCCUUUUCUCACUGAUCAGACCAGAACCUAGACUGGUGUAAACUGACAUGCCUUCAUUGACGUCAGUGGAGCUGUUUCAGUUUAUACUAGCCAAAGAUCUGGUCCCAAAUGCCUUUAUGCCAUUUUUAGAAACAGCCACUGGAAUUCACUUGAGUGUCAAAAUUAAAAAUACAUCCAUGCACUGCAUUUCUUUUCUGUCCCCAAGUGUAUAAAUGGAGGUUUGUUAACAGACUGUGGGAGAUGGAAUUACUGGAAGCAGCCAAUAACUGCAUCCAAGAUAUAGUUUGUGACAUAAGCGAAACAAAUGUGGUUUUGUCCUUUGCUUUUGGGCAAAUGAAUAUUUGCAUCCAAAAAAACCCAAAAACCUAAAACCUUUCACUCCUAGAGUAACAAUUUAACAAAGGAACACUAAUCAUUUAAAGAUGUUGUAAGCCUCAGAACAUUUGUCCUAGAAUUACAUUAAUGUAAUCAGCCAAUCAACACAGAGGGUCUAUUUUAAUAUAUCAUUAAAGAGGUAAUCUAGGAGUGAAAUACUUAGAACUUGCAAGAAAGCCCCAAAUUCCAGACCUACUUGCUCACCCAGAUAAUUUCCCUAAGAGUCUCACUGCUGGAAUAGCAACAAGAUUGAUUAAAAAAAUAAGAUGGCUGUACAAAGCAGCCAGCAUGGAGCCAGACCUAUUUGACAUCUAUCAUUUAUUCUCCAAUUGAUGUGUGUGUGGGGGUGGGAGAAGAAAGGAAGGAAGGAGGUGGGCCAGUGAAAGAACAGAGUAACAUUUCAAACUAGAGUUGUAGGCACUAUUACCAGGUUGAGAAAAGGAAGCCUGUAUGUCUGUGUUCCACACAGAGAGGCUGUUAAACAUGAACACUACUGAACAACAACAUCCAGUUGCUGAUAUUACCCACAAUGCAGGUAAAUUGUUCCUCUUUUGAUGCCAGAUAAAAAGGUCCAAAUAUGAAAGCCUGGUAAUUAGGAACAAAGAUGCAGCUUGCAGAGCAGAAUAGUAACCGUCUGUGCAGCACAACACCCAUAUCUUCAAUUUAGGUCAGUCCAUCAAGAGAAGAGAACUGGAGAUGAGAUGCUCUAUUUCGCACAAUUGCCCUCUGGAAGGACUGGCAAAGGCAGUCACUUAAAUUAAGUACAGGUCAUCAGACAAGAUAUCUAAUCUAUUCCUAAGACAGACAUCUUCAGCAGCCCAAAUCCCUGUGGCCUUUACAGUGACACAAUGAACUACUUCCUCAUGUACUUCUGUCUAUUCAUGUUAGGUUCUUACUUUUUUAAAAGCUAUAUUUCAUGUACACUAUGACCCUAUUGCUCAUAGCAAGGAAAGUGCUUUGGUUUAUUUAUGACCUACUAACCUUAAAUAAAAAAGCAUACAUCCAAUCUGAAUGUUCUCAUAAGCCUGGAGAUCUGAAAUAAAACUUUAAAUAAAUCUGGCAUUUGUACUGCAGCCAGCUCAGCCCAGUUGGGGAAUUAAAAAAAAAAAAAUCAAAACCAGAUGACAGAAGAGGAAAGCAUUAUUACUCUGUAUAAACUGCAAGUGUUCGGCAUCAGAAGUGCCUGGAUUUGGUAAGAGUCUAGCUUCUAGCAGUACAGCUAAAU